This 292-nucleotide ribosomal RNA is filed under the name uncultured bacterium. RNAcentral describes it as "partial 16S ribosomal RNA". It matches the Rfam family "Bacterial small subunit ribosomal RNA", at positions 505 to 796 of the family's 1533-position model. The record is from RNAcentral.
GUGUCAGCAGCCGCGGUAAUACGAAGGGGGCGAGCGUUGUUCGGAUUUACUGGGCGUAAAGGGCGCGCAGGCGGCCGGCCAAGUCAGGCGUGAAAGCCCCGGGCUUAACCUGGGAAUUGCGUCUGGGACUGGUUGGCUAGAGAUCGGGAGAGGAGAGUGGAAUUCCCAGUGUAGAGGUGAAAUUCGUAGAUAUUGGGAAGAACACCGGUGGCGAAGGCGGCUCUCUGGACCGAUACUGACGCUGAGGCGCGAAAGCGUGGGGAGCAAACAGGAUUAGAUACCCCGGUAGUCC